UACGUAGGGCGCAAGCGUUGUCCGGAAUUAUUGGGCGUAAAGAGCUCGUAGGCGGUCUGUUGCGUCCGCUGUGAAAACUCGGGGCUUAACCCCGAGCCUGCAGUGGAUACGGGCAGACUAGAGGUAGGUAGGGGAGAAUGGAAUUCCCGGUGUAGCGGUGAAAUGCGCAGAUAUCGGGAGGAACACCGGUGGCGAAGGCGGCAUCCUGGACCAACACUGACGCUGAGGAGCGAAAGCGUGGGGAGCGAACAGG
RNAcentral lists this ribosomal RNA (253 nucleotides) under uncultured bacterium. RNAcentral's name for it is "partial 16S ribosomal RNA". It matches the Rfam family "Bacterial small subunit ribosomal RNA", at positions 524 to 776 of the family's 1533-position model. The record is from RNAcentral.